Molecule: ribosomal RNA, 1249 nt
Filed under: Heteronematidae sp.
Lineage: Eukaryota; Euglenozoa; Anisonemea; Anisonemida; Anisonematidae
Description: partial small subunit ribosomal RNA
Rfam family: Eukaryotic small subunit ribosomal RNA (bases 219-1249)
Source: RNAcentral
AGUGUGAGAACAAUCCUUGGGGGCAACCCCACAGUGGUCUGUGGAUGUAAUGAGCCGCAACGCUGGUCUCAAUGCCGUUUGGGCUCUCUGCGGCGACCAUCCUUCCAUGGGAUGGCAGCUUGUGGUGGCCUGGGCGGCUUCCCGUUGUUUUGAGUGACUUGGGGCUUUUCCGACGGGGGGUUGGUCAGCUCCGGCGAAGUCCGCUCUCAUUCGGUGGCCACCCAAAGGGCGCAGCAGUGAAGGCUGUUGGCGGCUUCCUUUUCGGACUCCCGCUGCUUGAUUCUUCACCUUCUCCCUUCAUCAGGGGUACUCUGUUGUCAUUCUUCUCUUCGUCAGAGGGGUUUGACUGACCGUCCAAAAAAAAGGCGGACUCAAGAAAAAAACACUGCCUGCCCGAACCCAGUGGGCCGUUUCCAAAGUUUCUGCGGAUCUCUCAAGGCUUUUUGCGGAUACCCGCGGGAUGCGGUCGGCCGUGUACAGGAGAGCCACGGUGGCUUUUUCUCUCCCUCCCCACCUUUCCCCCUCUCGCAGGGGGUGAAGGAGGCGGACACUGAAAAACCCCGCGGCGCCAACCUCCUCGCGUUUGCGGGCCGUGAGCCAUCGGAAACAAUGGGACCCACCAGGGUCGAACGGAUGUGGAGGAUAGAGGUGAAAUUCUUAGACCCUCCACAGACGAACGGUGGCGAAGGCGUUUUACCGUAUAGUGUUCGUCGAUCAAGAACGAGAGUGCGGGGAGCGAAGACGAUCAGAUACCGUCGUAGUCCGCCCUGUAAAUGAUGCCGGCUCAGGAUUGGCAGUUGUUUGUGUUCCCCGAAUGACACCGUCCGCCCCUCCUCCCCCACAAGGAGAAAUCCACAAGCCCGUGGGUUCAGGGGGAAGUACACUCGCAAGUUUGAAACUUAAAGGAAUUGACGGAAUGACACCCCCAGGCGUGGAGUAUGCAGCUUAAUUUGACUCAACACGGGAAACCCUGCUGGGUCCGGACGGGGCAAGGAUUGACAGACCGCGAGCUCUUUCAUGAUUCCCCGAACGGUGGUGCAUGGCCAUUCCUGGUAGGUGGAGUGAUUUGUCUGGUUGAUUCUGAUAACGAGCGAGAUCUUUGCCUUGCAAUACGCACCGGUCUCGCCAAAACGGAGGAGAACUCUCCCUUUGGCCGUCCUUUCGAGGGCGGUUUUCUGGGGGACAACCUCUUCUCCGGAGGCCGGGUCUUGGGCCCCCUUCCAACAAAAAAAAGGGGGGGUCCAAAUGC